AGCUUGCUCCCUUAGGUCAGCGGCGGACGGGUGAGUAACACGUGGGUAACCUGCCUGUAAGACUGGGAUAACUCCGGGAAACCGGGGCUAAUACCGGAUGCUUGAUUGAACCGCAUGGUUCCAAUCAUAAAAGGUGGCUUUUAGCUACCACUUACAGAUGGACCCGCGGCGCAUUAGCUAGUUGGUGAGGUAACGGCUCACCAAGGCGACGAUGCGUAGCCGACCUGAGAGGGUGAUCGGCCACACUGGGACUGAGACACGGCCCAGACUCCUACGGGAGGCAGCAGUAGGGAAUCUUCCGCAAUGGACGAAAGUCUGACGGAGCAACGCCGCGUGAGUGAUGAAGGUUUUCGGAUCGUAAAACUCUGUUGUUAGGGAAGAACAAGUACCGUUCGAAUAGGGCGGCACCUUGACGGUACCUAACCAGAAAGCCACGGCUAACUACGUGCCAGCAGCCGCGGUAAUACGUAGGUGGCAAGCGUUGUCCGGAAUUAUUGGGCGUAAAGCGCGCGCAGGCGGUUUCUUAAGUCUGAUGUGAAAGCCCCCGGCUCAACCGGGGAGGGUCAUUGGAAACUGGGGAACUUGAGUGCAGAAGAGGAGAGUGGAAUUCCACGUGUAGCGGUGAAAUGCGUAGAGAUGUGGAGGAACACCAGUGGCGAAGGCGACUCUCUGGUCUGUAACUGACGC
This 687-nucleotide ribosomal RNA is filed under the name uncultured Bacilli bacterium. RNAcentral describes it as "bacterial SSU rRNA". It matches the Rfam family "Bacterial small subunit ribosomal RNA", at positions 77 to 746 of the family's 1533-position model. The record is from RNAcentral. Lineage: Bacteria; Bacillati; Bacillota; Bacilli.